RNAcentral lists this ribosomal RNA (253 nucleotides) under uncultured bacterium. RNAcentral describes it as "partial 16S ribosomal RNA". It matches the Rfam family "Bacterial small subunit ribosomal RNA", at positions 524 to 776 of the family's 1533-position model. The record is from RNAcentral.
UACGGAGGGUGCAAGCGUUAUCCGGAUUCACUGGGCUUAAAGGGUGCGUAGGCGGGUUGGUAAGUCAGUGGUGAAAUCCCCGAGCUUAACUUGGGAACUGCCAUUGAUACUAUCAGUCUUGAAUACCGUGGAGGUCAGUGGAAUAUGUCAUGUAGCGGUGAAAUGCUUAGAUAUGACAUAGAACACCAAUUGCGAAGGCAGCUGGCUACACGAAUAUUGACACUGAGGCACGAAAGCGUGGGGAUCAAACAGG